GUAGGUAUAGUUUAACAAAAAUAUUAGAUUGUGAUUCUAAAGACAGGGGCUAAAAUCCCCUUACCCACC
RNAcentral lists this transfer RNA (69 nucleotides) under Chaetodontoplus septentrionalis (bluestriped angelfish). Its description in RNAcentral is "tRNA-His". It matches the Rfam family "tRNA". From Rfam's summary of the family: Transfer RNA (tRNA) molecules are approximately 80 nucleotides in length. The record is from RNAcentral. Lineage: Eukaryota; Metazoa; Chordata; Actinopteri; Pomacanthidae.